AAUGCCAAGUGGAAACUGAGCAUAAUAAGAGAGGGAACAAAGAGGGUACAACAAAAUCUUGGAUUUACCUUUGUGCUGUCUGACCAGCCUGUUCUGAGCUGCAGUGGAAAGGAUUCUGUAUUGCUCUUGCUACAUGCCAAGACUAAACUUUUUACCUCCUGGUGGAAAAAAAAAAACAAAAAACAAAAAACACACAAAUGAACACACACAAAAAAAAAUGAGUUGUGACUAAAAGGAGAGACUGAGACAAAGUGUCAUCCCAGUGCUAGUCCUACUCUGAGGAAUUUUACACCCCACCCAUUACCCCUCUAGCCCAGCUGUGCCUGGUCUGUGUCUGGUUCAGAAAUUUUGGCCACACAAGUGAGCAGCCUGAGGUCAAGGAGAGGAGACAAGUGCUCCACAUCUGCAUCGCAUGAAAACAUUUGGGCACCAGAUCUUCACUGCUGGAGACUUAGGAACAGGUUAAAUAACCAUCUGCCAGAUUGGCAGCACCAUGGGAAACCCAACACUUGGAUGAACAGCAGUGCAUAUGGUGAAUAUGGGGGAAGAAUUCUGAAGCUGUAAUUCAGGUAAGUGAGAGCUGAGAGGGUGGUUGUUUUUUUUUUUUUUUUUUCUUUUUUUUCCUCUCUUUUCCCCCCCCCCCCCCCCCUUUUUUUCUUUUUCUUUUUUUUUUUUUUUUUUCAGCCAAUGGUUUUAUAGUACAUAUCAUCAAGUGCAUAUUAAGCAGAGUUUCUGGACUAAUGCUUUCCAGCCUUGACUCUCAGACUUGGUAACUGUUCCAAAUAGUACUUUAAAAUGUCUUAGCUGUAUAAAUACAAGACCUCAAUGUUACCCUUGUUGACAAAACCAAAAACAAGUUAUAUUAAAAAAAAAAAAAAGUUAAUAUAUAUUUUUAAGUAAUUCUGAAUAUGUACUGGCCAAGGGAAAAAUUAUGUCUAUCGCAUAAAAAGGACUUGAUAUUCUUAAUGGUAUUUUUAAAUUGACUUCCAAUUUGGUAUUAGUCAUGGGUGCAAAAAAAGGCCUCAGGUAAUGACCAUAUAUGUUCAGGUCUAAGGGGUGGAUGUACAGAAGAAAAUCAAGUUAAUCAAGGCAGCAACUUGUUCUGGGCUUGCUGACUUGGGUUAGGGCUCCCUUAAUGUGUCAGAUGAGCUGACCUUAUACAAAGCACUGGGAAAGUUAGGUGUUGCAGGCAGAACAAAGGAGCUGUUUUAUCAUAUAAAGCAAUUGAAAUAAGAUUCAUUCCAUGGUCUGU
This 1252-nucleotide long non-coding RNA is filed under the name Anas platyrhynchos platyrhynchos (common mallard). RNAcentral's name for it is "lncRNA (ENSAPLG00000019737.1)". Lineage: Eukaryota; Metazoa; Chordata; Aves; Anseriformes; Anatidae. The record is from RNAcentral.